UAGAAAUAAAUAAAAUUAAAUAGAAUCAUGAGUCAACAAUGAAAGCAGACUGGUAAACAUCAGCUUUAAUAGACAAAGAAAUCAGAAAGAAGACAUUUGAGAAGUUACAAUCACAGACCAAUGAGCAUGGCAGAUGAUAAUUAUGGAUCAUACAUGAGACAACGUGGUGAAAAUACAGUUAUCAGGUCGAUCUAGGUUGGAAAUAGACUUUGAAAUUGUAACAAGCUGCCUAAAUAACAGGAGCUACACCUGAUAUGAAUCCAGAGGCAUUCUGCUUCAGCCGCACAACCAGAGUGUACAAUUCCUCUGUAAUCUUGGAUCCGUGGCCCCACCCCACUGAUCACCUUACUGCAGCUAUCUCAAAGUGGACACCAUGUGCUUCAAGGCUAGCACCACACUGUCA
Lemur catta (Ring-tailed lemur) is the source of this 403-nucleotide long non-coding RNA. RefSeq lists it as uncharacterized. NCBI's taxonomy places the organism in Eukaryota, Metazoa, Chordata, Mammalia, Primates, Lemuridae. The transcript is spliced from 2 exons. The record is from RefSeq and is a predicted model, not a curated record.